Molecule: long non-coding RNA, 165 nt
Organism: Hypanus sabinus (Atlantic stingray)
Lineage: Eukaryota; Metazoa; Chordata; Chondrichthyes; Myliobatiformes; Dasyatidae
Exons: 3
Source: RefSeq, a predicted model, not a curated record
CAAGAUUUGAGUGCAUAAUGACUCCGUCAUUUCAGCUUUACCCUUGCAUGCGUUCUGGCAGCGAUUUUGCAAUAUUUUUAAGAGUCAAAGAACACAAAUCAACACAAAACAGGCCCUUUGGACCAACCAAACCCCAGUCAGGUUGGAUUGGCAAUAACAUCUCCU